AUUAAAGGGCGGACGCCUGCCCAGUGAAUAUUAAACGGCCGCGGUACCCUAACCGUGCAAAGGUAGCAUAAUCAUUUGUCUAUUAAUUGUAGACCUGUAUGAAAGGCAAAAUGAGAGCCCAACUGUCUCUUAUAACAAAUCAAUAAAACUGAUCUUCUAGUACAAAAGCUAAAAUACUGACAUAAGACCAGAAGACCCUGUGAAGCUUUAACAAACCCAUUAAAUCUAAUAAUGAUUACUUUCGGUUGGGGCGACCUUGGAAUAAAAAAGAACUUCCAAUAUAUGACUACUCAUAAAAGAGGCAAACAAGCCUACAUUAGAUCCAGCAUAGCUGAUAAUUGAAAUAAGUUACUCCAGGGAUAACAGCGCUAUCUUCUUUAAGAGCCCAUAUCAAAAAGAAGGUUUACGACCUCGAUGUUGGAUCAGGACAUCCCAGUAAUGCAUCCGUUACUAAAGGUUCGUUUGUUCAACGAUUAACAGUCCUACGUGAUCUGAU
This 496-nucleotide ribosomal RNA is filed under the name Trimeresurus salazar (Salazar's pit viper). RNAcentral's name for it is "Trimeresurus sp. ZAM-2019a partial large subunit ribosomal RNA". It matches the Rfam family "Bacterial large subunit ribosomal RNA", at positions 1843 to 2609 of the family's 2925-position model. The record is from RNAcentral. Lineage: Eukaryota; Metazoa; Chordata; Lepidosauria; Squamata; Viperidae.